UGACUCAAUCAAAGGUCCCGU
RNAcentral lists this unclassified non-coding RNA (21 nucleotides) under Dictyostelium discoideum. Lineage: Eukaryota; Evosea; Eumycetozoa; Dictyosteliales; Dictyosteliaceae. The record is from RNAcentral.